RNAcentral lists this ribosomal RNA (425 nucleotides) under uncultured bacterium. RNAcentral's name for it is "partial 16S ribosomal RNA". It matches the Rfam family "Bacterial small subunit ribosomal RNA", at positions 354 to 796 of the family's 1533-position model. The record is from RNAcentral.
GUGGGGGAUAUUGCACAAUGGAGGAAACUCUGAUGCAGCGACGCCGCGUGAGUGAAGAAGUAUUUCGGUAUGUAAAGCUCUAUCAGCAGGGAAGAUAAUGUCAGUACCUGACUAAGAAGCCCCGGCUAACUACGUGCCAGCAGCCGCGGUAAUACGUAGGGGGCAAGCGUUAUCCGGAUUUACUGGGUGUAAAGGGAGCGUAGACGGAAUGGCAAGUCUGAUGUGAAAUCCUGCGGCUUAACUGCAAAAUUGCUUUGGAAACUGUCAAGCUGGAGUAUUGGAGAGGUAAGCGGAAUUCCUGGUGUAGCGGUGAAAUGCGUAGAUAUCAGGAAGAACACCGGAGGCGAAGGCGGCUUACUGGACAAUAACUGACGUUGAGGCUCGAAAGCGUGGGAAGCAAACAGGAUUAGAUACCCGAGUAGUCC